RNAcentral lists this long non-coding RNA (322 nucleotides) under Oryza brachyantha (malo sina). RNAcentral's name for it is "long non-coding RNA (OBRA_LNC003394)". The record is from RNAcentral. Lineage: Eukaryota; Viridiplantae; Streptophyta; Magnoliopsida; Poales; Poaceae.
AACGAAAUUAAAGACCCAACUGCCACAUCUGGCCACAGCCAACUGCCCAAAUUAAGUAUAUCUAACCUCAGUCAUCUAAUCAUUGAUUGCCUUAGCAUUCACUCAACUCAAGCAACAUGUCUGAUCAUUAAUGUCCAUUUUCACUAUAGCUCAUCAAAUAAUUUCGGCUACCCGCUUGAAGUGCUCAACACCACUGAACAAGCCGUUCAUCACCAACACAUGCUCUCGUGUGAAGGUCUCUCCUUGGAUAUUAUAUGUGAGUUGGAAAGUGUUGGGCACCUCUUUCAUAUUUCUCACUUGGAUCUCUCUAUAUAUGGCCAGA